This 870-nucleotide long non-coding RNA is filed under the name Citrus maxima (pomelo). Its description in RNAcentral is "long non-coding RNA (CMAX_LNC001167)". Lineage: Eukaryota; Viridiplantae; Streptophyta; Magnoliopsida; Sapindales; Rutaceae. The record is from RNAcentral.
GGCCAAAUGAUAUCCGUGAUUUUUCAGAGUAUUUGUUCUUGAGGUAAUGCCUUGAGGUAAGGUAUGUAAUGAGUUGUGUGAAGUGGGAUGUGAUAAUAAUUUUGCCCUUGCUUCAUGUGAUGAAAUCGCACAUAAUUUGCCCUUGCUUUAUGUGAUGAAAUCUUUGGGUGGUUUGUUUAUUUAGUGUUUUUCUAUUUCUUUUUAUAUGCUAAUUUUCAUAGUUCUAGAGCAAGUCUUUCUCUAGUCAUUUUGAAAUCCUUCCACAUGCUGCUUCUUAGCCAAGAUUGUCUUGCCCUAAUGAACAAGUUAAAUGGAUUUGCGUUGCUUGGAGUCUCAGUGUAAUAUAUGUGUUUUAGAACUUAGAUUGAUAAACAAAUUUGAACAAAUACAGUGGAAGAAGAAUAAAGAGAAGAUUAAAAAAAAAGAGUAGAAAUAAAGAAAAGGAUGGUGAAACUUUAGGAGAAUAGGGGAAUCAAGAGAAGAGGAUAGAAUUUUGAUGGAUUUUAUUUAAUUAUGUAACGGAGGUUUUUUGUUGUUAGAUGUUGUGCGUUAAUUAAUUUGUAAUCUUGGAAAAAUACUUUAUCAUGAAUUGGGUUAAUUGUAAGUGGCCAAUACACUAAUAUAUAUUCUUCUAGUACUCAUCUAAAUGUAAUCUGUGUUUCAGGUGAUGUUGGUGGCUCUUGGGAAUUUACUAUCAGUGUUCUUUUUACGAAUUAAUUGUUUUUCUAAUGAUGGGGUAGUGAUUGAAUAUUGUAGAGAAUUUAUGAGCUAUUCUUACGGAUUUGAUUCACCAUGUAUUUUGAUGAUACUAUUUGUUGGAAGUUUCAAGUAAUUGAAAUUUUUAGUAUAUGGUGAUAUUUGGUAUUUGAU